UAGUGUUACAGAUCUUUUAGAAAUUGUCUAGCAUGUUUUCUGGCUUGUACUGGAACCGCCCCC
This 63-nucleotide small nuclear RNA is filed under the name Echinops telfairi (small Madagascar hedgehog). Its description in RNAcentral is "U7 small nuclear RNA (ENSETEG00000026916.1)". It matches the Rfam family "U7 small nuclear RNA". From Rfam's summary of the family: Animal histone pre-mRNAs are spliced by a different mechanism than nuclear pre-mRNAs and self-splicing introns. This processing involves the U7 snRNP, which contains only one RNA species: U7. Lineage: Eukaryota; Metazoa; Chordata; Mammalia; Afrosoricida; Tenrecidae. The record is from RNAcentral.